RNAcentral lists this microRNA (36 nucleotides) under Curtobacterium sp. ER1/6. Its description in RNAcentral is "microRNA MIR1846". The record is from RNAcentral. Lineage: Bacteria; Bacillati; Actinomycetota; Actinomycetes; Micrococcales; Microbacteriaceae.
GAAGGCGCCGCCCCCGGAUCCGGGGACGGCGCCUUC